GCCCUCUGUGGUGUAGUUGGUAUCGCUUAGGCUUAGUAAUAAUAAGUCCCAGGUUCAAGUCCCGGUCGGGGUA
Non-coding RNA from Halocaridina rubra (Hawaiian volcano shrimp), 73 nucleotides. Lineage: Eukaryota; Metazoa; Arthropoda; Malacostraca; Decapoda; Atyidae. The record is from the annotation of a GenBank genome assembly.